RNAcentral lists this long non-coding RNA (2028 nucleotides) under Homo sapiens (human). Its description in RNAcentral is "long intergenic non-protein coding RNA 511". The record is from RNAcentral. Lineage: Eukaryota; Metazoa; Chordata; Mammalia; Primates; Hominidae.
GGGUGGGGCCGAGGCAUUUCCCAGCACAGCUCAAUCACAUCUCCUGCGCCUGCCCUUGUGACCUGCUCACUGGAAAGGAAGAAAUGACCGAGGGAGAAGGGAGGGCAUUUGAGGUAUUUUUCCCUCUCCACCCUGGUCUUCUCCUGUAACGUGUGGCCGCCUUUUCCAGCACGGCCUCCUGCCUUCCUGGUGCACUUUUUGGAGAACGUGGUGGAAUCAGAGGUUUCUGGCUGACUCGGUGGGUGCUUUGAACCAGGAAAGGACAAGAAAGAGGUGCCACCUCCUGAGUCCUGGUUCCUGCGGCUCCGUCGAAUCUGCAGUGAAGGCCUUUGGGAAGCGUGGGUUAUGUGGGUCCAGGGGUCCCAUCCUCCCGUGGAGGCCCUUGACCUGAGGAUCACUAACUCACACCCCACCGACUUCCGGCCCCCAACAAGGGCAGUGUUCCUCUUGCUCCAUUCUGCUCUGAAGUCCCCCAAACCGCUUCCUGGGGCUGCUUAGUGAAAUACAAGGCUCAUCUCUGAGGACCUCUACAGGGCUGGAUGGGAAGGACUGAUCCACAUUCCCACCAGGAAGUUUAGCAGAACCCCCGCGUGCCACCUGGACCCCUUGGAAGGACCUGGCUCAGGCUGGACCACCUCUUGAGAGGCAGGAGCUCUGGAUUUGAUCAAGAAUUCUUUGCUGAGCAUGGUGCCUCAUGCCUAUAAUCCCAACACUUUGGGAGGCCAGUGUGGGAGGAUCUCUUGAGCCCAGGAGUUCAAGACUAGCCUGGGCAACACAGAGAGACCCCAUCUCUAAAAUAAUAAUAAUAAUAAAAUAAAAAAUUAGCAGGGCAUGGUGGCAUGUGCCUGUAGUCCCAGCUACCCAGGAGGCUGAGGCAAGAGGAUGGCUGGAGCCUGGGAUGUUGAGGCUGCAAUGAACUGUGAUUACCCCACUGCACUCCAGCCUGGGCAAAAGAGCGAGAGACCCUGUCUCAAAUAAUAAUAAUAAUAAUAAUCUUAUUUUGGAGAAUAAAGAGACCUCUGGAUUUGAGGUGCCAUUUGGGUAGAAAGAAAAGACGUUUACACCGAGAAAUAGUCUGUGUUGCCCUGAAGGAGCAGAGGGAUGCAUCGCUGGAGGUGACCUACAGUUGAAGAAGACUCAUUAUGACAGACCUUGUCCUUCUUCCUUGUGGAAAGUGUUUCCUCUGCUGCUACUGCUCAUGAGACUCUUCCCCCUCCCUGUCCCAGGGAACCAAAGGGCUUUCUACCACACCCUUUCUUGCCCCCCGCCUCCCAUGUCUGCUGUGCCUUUGUACUCAGCAAUUCUUGUUUGCUCCAUUAUCUUCCAGCCGGAUACAGAGUGAAUAGUUAACCACACUUAGGUCAAAUAGGAUCUAAAUUUUUGUUCCUGCUCCGUGUAAAGAGGCCAGUGUUUGUGUGUUGCAAGCAGCCUUGGAAUAGUAACUCUUCUCAUUUGUUUGGGAUCUGGCCACCAAGUUCCAGAAUGAUACACGGAUCAGUGCAGAAGUUCAUCAGGCUCUCGGACCUUAGGGCUGUUGGAGAAGGCUUCAGCAGCAGAACUGAUGGUGAAGGCUCGUGUUCUCCAUCCUCAACUUUCUUUGCUUCGAUCAUACACAAGAAUACAUUUGGAAGGGCAAAAAAUGAACACUGUCGUUCAUUGCAGCCGUGUUUUGUGACACAGAUGCACAGUCUGCUGUGAAGACCUUCUCUCAAGUGGCAUUUGGGAGUCCAUGCCAGAUCAUGGUGCUUCAUGAGAGACUGACAGCUAUCAGGGGUUGUGGCACUUAGUGAGGACUCUCCUCCCCCAGUGUGUGCUGAUGACACAUACACACCUGACAAUAGCUUGAGUCUUCUCUGUUCCUUUUACUCUGUAGCCAACAUACACAUGAUUUAAAACCCUUUCUAAAUAUCUAUCAUGGUUCAUCCUUGUCCAAAUGCAGAGUCAGAGCUAUUUGUACUUCAUUAUUAUUUCCAAGGCGAAUAGUUGGCUUUCUUUUUGCAAAAAUAAUUAAAGUUUUUGUAUGUUGCA